RNAcentral lists this ribosomal RNA (253 nucleotides) under uncultured bacterium. Its description in RNAcentral is "partial 16S ribosomal RNA". It matches the Rfam family "Bacterial small subunit ribosomal RNA", at positions 524 to 776 of the family's 1533-position model. The record is from RNAcentral.
UACGUAGGGGGCAAGCGUUGUCCGGAUUUAUUGGGCGUAAAGAGCGUGUAGGCGGUCUGGUAGGUCCGUUGUGAAAACUCGAGGCUCAACCUCGAGACGCCGAUGGAAACCAUCAGACUAGAGUCCGGAAGAGGAGAGUGGAAUUCCUGGUGUAGCGGUGAAAUGCGCAGAUAUCAGGAAGAACACCAAUGGCGAAGGCAGCUCGCUGGGACGUGACUGACGCUGAGACGCGAAAGCGUGGGGAGCAAACAGG